AGCAGCCGCGGUAAUUCCAGCUCCAAUAGCGUAUAUUAAAGUUGUUGCAGUUAAAAAGCUCGUAGUUGAAUUUCGGGAUUGGCGCAUCGGUCGUGCCUCACGGGGUAUGAACUGGUGCAGUCAAUUUCUCACCUUCUGGAGAACCGCGAUGUCCUUAAUUGGGUGCCGCGGGGAACCAGGACCUUUACUUUGAAAAAAUUGAGUGUUUAAAGCAGGCAUUUUUUGCUUGAAUACAUUAGCAUGGAAUAAUAAAAUAGGACGGCAUGGUUCUAUUUUGUUGGUUUCUAGGACCACCGUAAUGAUUAAUAGGGAUAGUUGGGGGCAUUAGUAUUCAAUUGUCAGAGGUGAAAUUCUUGGAUUUAUUGAAGACUAACUACUGCGAAAGCAUUUGCCAAGGAUGUUUUCAUUAAUCAAGAACGAAAGUUAGGGAUCGAAGACGAUCAGAUACCGUCGUAGUCUUAACCAUAAACUAUGCCGACUAGGAAUCAAGACGAUGUUAAUUUUUUAUGUACUUCGUUGG
RNAcentral lists this ribosomal RNA (520 nucleotides) under uncultured Entrophospora. RNAcentral's name for it is "SSU rRNA". It matches the Rfam family "Eukaryotic small subunit ribosomal RNA", at positions 569 to 1083 of the family's 1831-position model. The record is from RNAcentral. Lineage: Eukaryota; Fungi; Glomeromycota; Glomeromycetes; Entrophosporales; Entrophosporaceae.